CCUUCGAUAGCUCAGUUGGUAGGGCGGGGGACUGUAGAUCUCUAGGUCACUGGUUCUAAUCCGGUUCGAAGGA
RNAcentral lists this transfer RNA (73 nucleotides) under Dendronephthya gigantea. Its description in RNAcentral is "tRNA-Tyr". It matches the Rfam family "tRNA". From Rfam's summary of the family: Transfer RNA (tRNA) molecules are approximately 80 nucleotides in length. Their secondary structure includes four short double-helical elements and three loops (D, anti-codon, and T loops). The record is from RNAcentral. Lineage: Eukaryota; Metazoa; Cnidaria; Anthozoa; Malacalcyonacea; Nephtheidae.